Molecule: non-coding RNA, 98 nt
Filed under: uncultured Pygmaiobacter sp.
Lineage: Bacteria; Bacillati; Bacillota; Clostridia; Eubacteriales; Oscillospiraceae
Description: TPP riboswitch (THI element)
Rfam family: TPP riboswitch aptamer (THI element)
About the family: Vitamin B(1) in its active form thiamin pyrophosphate (TPP) is an essential coenzyme that is synthesised by coupling of pyrimidine and thiazole moieties in bacteria.
Source: RNAcentral
AAAACAGGGGUGCCGAAAGGCUGAGAUUUGCGUCGUGCGCGGCGCAUGAACCCUUUAACCUGAUCCGGAUAAUGCCGGCGUAGGAAGUUUGCAGAUCA